UAUGAUGUCUGAUUAAAAAAUUAGGCCUUAAUCCUGUCACCUUAGGUCGAUCGGUACCUCAGACUAAAAACAAAAUUGUGAAAGCAUUUUUAAUAAUUUUUAGUUUUAGUUCCUAAACUUGUCUAGGUCACACCCAACAAACUUUUCUCCUGGGCUAUUAGCUCAGGCGGUUAGAGCGCACCCCUGAUAAGGGUGAGGUCCCUGGUUCAAGUCCAGGAUGGCCCAUUCGUUGUUGGGGGUAUAGCUCAGUUGGUAGAGCGCCUGCUUUGCAAGCAGGAUGUCAGCGGUUCGAGUCCGCUUACCUCCACUGAAUAACUGCCUGAUAACUCAAUUUGGAGAUUGUCGUUUGUUGUAUGUGACUUAGAGUUGCUCCUCUGAUUGGAACCUAGCUUCCCAUCACUCCUAAUACUUUUAGGCUGAUAAGACGCUGGGCUCACUAAAUAUUCUUAAGAUUAUUUAGUUUGAUUCAGUAGAACCUUGACAACUGCAUAGGAAAGUCUGGAAAGAAUAAAGCAUCUCAUAGAUGCAUAUAAGUCUCAUGAUUUAGCUUUAUUGCUAAUGAAUGAUUUUUAUAUGAUUAAUUCUUGAGUUAGAGCAAUUAUCUAUAAGAUUAUUUCCAUUGAUUGAUUUAGUGGAUUAC
RNAcentral lists this transfer RNA (640 nucleotides) under uncultured Prochlorococcus sp. RNAcentral's name for it is "partial 16S-23S ribosomal RNA intergenic spacer". The stretch from base 235 to 307 matches the Rfam family "tRNA". The record is from RNAcentral. Lineage: Bacteria; Bacillati; Cyanobacteriota; Cyanophyceae; Synechococcales; Prochlorococcaceae.